UACGUAGGGAGCAAGCGUUGUCCGGAAUCAUUGGGCGUAAAGCGCGCGUAGGCGGCCCUGUAAGUCCGUUGUGAAAGUCAAAGGCUCAACCUUUGAAAGCCGAUGGAUACUGCAGGGCUAGAGUCCGGAAGAGGCGAGUGGAAUUCCUGGUGUAGCGGUGGAAUGCGCAGAUAUCAGGAGGAACAUCCGUGGCGAAGGCGGCUCUCUGGGACGGUACUGACGCUGAGACGCGAAAGCGUGGGGAGCGAACAGG
Molecule: ribosomal RNA, 253 nt
Filed under: uncultured bacterium
Lineage: Bacteria
Description: partial 16S ribosomal RNA
Rfam family: Bacterial small subunit ribosomal RNA
Source: RNAcentral